CAUUCUUCCUGAAUAAGAUGCUUGACUAAAUUACUAUAUUUCUAAUUUUUUAAUUCAAGAACAGGCUUCCCUUUGCAUUUGUAUUUCCAGGCAAGGUACAACUUGUCCAGAGAAGGAAGGAAUGAGCCUUUCGUAUUGUCCCAUAUUACUGCCACAGUGUGAGGAGGAGGCCAUGAAUGUUUUGUUCCUUCACUGCAGCUAAAAUAAUUUUAAGAAGCCAACAUCCAUUGCUGGGACUGCAUGUUUUUUUGCUAUGGUCAUAGAAGAACUUGAAUGUACAGCUGAGGCUCAUCAAAGUCUGUGAGACCAGUAACACCACCUCUGCUCUUCUCUUGGUGAUUUGGUUGACUCUCUGGAGAGAUAACAAACUCAAAUCAGGAAUACAGAGAAACUUUAGAUUUGAACAUCAAGAAGAAAGACUUCUGGUUUCCAUGACAGCUCUUCAUUCCUCAACCCUUCCUACUCUUUUGGUUUGGAUUUUAUGACAACUUGUCUUCUGAUGAUUGUGACUUGACGUUGACAUCUGUGUUGGUUGGACCGCCCCAAACAUGCUCAGCAGAAGUGCAGUGCUCCUGUGUCUGUAUACGAUAAAGCAGCAGAUCCAAGGCAGCACUGAUCUAUCCUGUUUAUCACAAUGGCAGGUCUACUCUAAAGCUUAAGUGGAUGCUCAGUUAAGUGUCAAUGCUACUAAUGACUUAAAUUCUACCAAUUCAGGCACGAACAUCUUUCUGAGGUGGCUUAUCUUUGAUUGUUAGGUGCUGGUAAGGGGUGGGUUAUAAAACAGAAUAACAAAGUUUGUCUUUCUCUACCUAUUAAUGCUUUGUCUGGAACUUCAACUGAGGAGUUAUUUUCAUAUUCAUCCUUAACAAAAUGAAUGAAAUAAUUCUGUAUCAACAAGC
This 899-nucleotide long non-coding RNA is filed under the name Anas platyrhynchos platyrhynchos (common mallard). RNAcentral's name for it is "lncRNA (ENSAPLG00000030315.1)". The record is from RNAcentral. Lineage: Eukaryota; Metazoa; Chordata; Aves; Anseriformes; Anatidae.